This 439-nucleotide ribosomal RNA is filed under the name uncultured bacterium. Its description in RNAcentral is "bacterial SSU rRNA". It matches the Rfam family "Bacterial small subunit ribosomal RNA", at positions 20 to 507 of the family's 1533-position model. The record is from RNAcentral.
UGGUUCAGGAUGAACGCUGGCGGCGUGCUCCCCCAUGAAGGUCAAACGAACCUUCGGGUUAGGGGCGGACGGGUGAGUAACGCGUGAAAAUCUGCCCUCAGGAGGGGCCUAACGGCUGGAAACGGCCGCUAAUACCCCAUAUGCCGAGAGGUGAAAUGAAUUUCGCCUGAGGAUGAGCUCGCGUCUGAUUAGCUAGUUGGGGGGGUAAAGGCCUACCAAGGCAUCGAUCAGUAGCUGGUCUGAGAGGAUGAUCAGCCACACUGGGACUGAGACACGGCCCAAACUCCUACGGGAGGCAGCAGUGGGGAAUUUUCCGCAAUGGGCGCAAGCCUGACGGAGCAACUCCGCGUGAGGGAUGAAGGCCUCUGGGCUGUAAACCUCUUUUAUCAAGGAAGAAAAUCUGACGGUACUUGAUGAAUAAGCCACGGCUAAUUCCGUG